Molecule: unclassified non-coding RNA, 211 nt
Filed under: Glomeraceae sp.
Lineage: Eukaryota; Fungi; Glomeromycota; Glomeromycetes; Glomerales; Glomeraceae
Description: partial contains 5.8S ribosomal RNA and internal transcribed spacer 2
Rfam family: 5.8S ribosomal RNA (bases 1-65)
Source: RNAcentral
GUGAAUCAUCAAAUUUUUGAACGCAAAUUGCACUCUCUGUGGAGAGUAUGCCUGUUUGAGGGUCAGUAGUAAUAAAAUCGGGGUGUGGCUCUUUGGGGACGCAACGGAGUUUGGGCUACCUUUGACUUUCGGGUGUUAAGAGGCUUAAAAUUGAACUUUUUUGCGCACUUUUAGACGGACAUAAAGUAAUUUUAUCGUCUAUUAUGGUGCC